RNAcentral lists this ribosomal RNA (253 nucleotides) under uncultured bacterium. RNAcentral describes it as "partial 16S ribosomal RNA". It matches the Rfam family "Bacterial small subunit ribosomal RNA", at positions 524 to 776 of the family's 1533-position model. The record is from RNAcentral.
UACGAAGGGGGCUAGCGUUGCUCGGAAUCACUGGGCGUAAAGGGUGCGUAGGCGGGGUUUUAAGUCAGAGGUGAAAUCCUGGAGCUCAACUCCAGAACUGCCUUUGAUACUGAAAGUCUUGAGUAUGGGAGAGGUGAGUGGAACUGCGAGUGUAGAGGUGAAAUUCGUAGAUAUUCGCAAGAACACCAGUGGCGAAGGCGGCUCACUGGCCCAUUACUGACGCUGAGGCCCGAAAGCGUGGGGAGCAAACAGG